Molecule: ribosomal RNA, 661 nt
Filed under: Escherichia coli
Lineage: Bacteria; Pseudomonadati; Pseudomonadota; Gammaproteobacteria; Enterobacterales; Enterobacteriaceae
Description: partial 23S ribosomal RNA
Rfam family: Bacterial large subunit ribosomal RNA
Source: RNAcentral
UUGGGUAGGGGAGCGUUCUGUAAGCCUGUGAAGGUGUGCUGUGAGGCAUGCUGGAGGUAUCAGAAGUGCGAAUGCUGACAUAAGUAACGAUAAAGCGGGUGAAAAGCCCGCUCGCCGGAAGACCAAGGGUUCCUGUCCAACGUUAAUCGGGGCAGGGUGAGUCGACCCCUAAGGCGAGGCCGAAAGGCGUAGUCGAUGGGAAACAGGUUAAUAUUCCUGUACUUGGUGUUACUGCGAAGGGGGGACGGAGAAGGCUAUGUUGGCCGGGCGACGGUUGUCCCGGUUUAAGCGUGUAGGCUGGUUUUCCAGGCAAAUCCGGAAAAUCAAGGCUGAGGCGUGAUGACGAGGCACUACGGUGCUGAAGCAACAAAUGCCCUGCUUCCAGGAAAAGCCUCUAAGCAUCAGGUAACAUCAAAUCGUACCCCAAACCGACACAGGUGGUCAGGUAGAGAAUACCAAGGCGCUUGAGAGAACUCGGGUGAAGGAACUAGGCAAAAUGGUGCCGUAACUUCGGGAGAAGGCACGCUGAUAUGUAGGUGAAGUCCCUCGCGGAUGGAGCUGAAAUCAGUCGAAGAUACCAGCUGGCUGCAACUGUUUAUUAAAAACACAGCACUGUGCAAACACGAAAGUGGACGUAUACGGUGUGACGCCUGCCCGGUGC